RNAcentral lists this transfer RNA (74 nucleotides) under Danionella translucida. It matches the Rfam family "tRNA". Rfam says of the family: Transfer RNA (tRNA) molecules are approximately 80 nucleotides in length. Lineage: Eukaryota; Metazoa; Chordata; Actinopteri; Cypriniformes; Danionidae. The record is from Rfam by way of RNAcentral. RNAcentral also lists the same sequence under 1 other name.
GGCACCGUGGCUUAGUAGGUAAAAGUUCCUGUCUCGUAAACAGGAGAUCCUGGGUUCAAAUACCAGCUGUUCCC